RNAcentral lists this ribosomal RNA (228 nucleotides) under uncultured bacterium. Its description in RNAcentral is "partial 16S ribosomal RNA". It matches the Rfam family "Bacterial small subunit ribosomal RNA", at positions 568 to 795 of the family's 1533-position model. The record is from RNAcentral.
AGUGCAGGCGGCUACGUCAGUCGGAUGUGAAAGCCCCGGGCUUAACCUGGGAAUUGCAUUCGAUACUGCGUGGCUAGAGUCUGAUAGAGGGAAGUGGAAUUCCAGGUGUAGCGGUGAAAUGCGUAGAUAUCUGGAGGAACAUCAGUGGCGAAGGCGGCUUCCUGGAUCAAGACUGACGCUCAGGCUCGAAAGCGUGGGUAGCAAACAGGAUUAGAUACCCUGGUAGUC